Molecule: ribosomal RNA, 291 nt
Filed under: uncultured soil bacterium
Lineage: Bacteria
Description: partial 16S ribosomal RNA
Rfam family: Bacterial small subunit ribosomal RNA
Source: RNAcentral
AAUGGCUCACCAAGGCGACGACGGGUAGCCGGCCUGAGAGGGUGACCGGCCACACUGGGACUGAGACACGGCCCAGACUCCUACGGGAGGCAGCAGUGGGGAAUAUUGCACAAUGGGCGAAAGCCUGAUGCAGCGACGCCGCGUGAGGGAUGACGGCCUUCGGUUGUAACCUCUUCAGUAGGAAGAAGCGAAAGUGACGGUACCUGCAGAAGAAGCGCCGGCUAACUACGUGCCAGCAGCCGCGGUAAUACGUAGGCGCAAGCGUUAUCCGGAAUGAUGUCGACGCGGCCG